Long non-coding RNA from Chelonia mydas (Green sea turtle), 3803 nucleotides. RefSeq lists it as uncharacterized. NCBI's taxonomy places the organism in Eukaryota, Metazoa, Chordata, Testudines, Cheloniidae. The transcript has 3 exons. The record is from RefSeq and is a predicted model, not a curated record.
UUUUCACACUUGCUAUCUGCUCACCCUAGUCGCAAACAGGGCCAGCAUUAAGCGGGGGUAGGAAGCAGGGCAAUUGCCUGGGGUUCAAUGCCACAGAGGGCCCCGAGAAGCUAUUUUACAUGUUUCAGCCGCAAGCCGUGUAGGGCUGAAGCCCUGAGCCAUGUGGGGCUGAAGCCUGAGCCCUGAGCUGAUGAGUUUUUUUAAGUCCAAAGGGAGUCGGCAGCACCCCAAGGUUGAGAAACACCUGCUCUAACACGUUUUUCCUCUUCACGUAUAGCCAGAUCCCUGAGUUCCAGCUUCAGCAACAACCUCAUCCAGAUCAUUGCACUUUAUCUUGGCCCAGAACGGUGGCUGUACAGGAUUUCUCUUUAGAGUAAAAAAAAAAUCGAAUUGUCAUUAAGCGUGCUCGUGUCAUUCAGCGAACAAUUACACGAGGUGCGCUGGUUUGUAGAGUGAUUAGCUGCAGCAGGAAACAGCUUUUGUGGCAUUCACAAUCGGAUCAGAGCGGCAGGGAGAUACUGAGCCUCGCAGGGCAGCACACCACGGAGCGAGUCUGAAACAUUGCUUAAUAACAGUGUGUUAUGCUGAUGGGCAACGCAGCCCUCCAACGUCACCAGGCUGCCGGCGUCAUUAACUGGGCUGCGUCACGACACUUCCCUUCGGCAGCACAGAGGUGCCAGCUUUGGAAGCAUAAACUGAAAGUUCAAAUGUUUCCCUUGCUAGGGCUUGUCAGCCUAGGAGCUCCCAGCACUUCACAACCCAUUUGAAUUUGGCUUCCCAGCACCCCAUGGGUCUGGGACAUGUUACACUCCCCGUUGUACAGAGGGCGAGUCUGCGGAACAGAGUGGGGAUGUGACUUUCCCCAUGGUGAGUUAGCAACAGAGCGAAUUCCUGGCUCUCCCUCCAUGUUCUCCAGUCAACACUCUCUGCCUUAGCUGGGAAUGGAAUCCAGCGAGCCAUUAGUUCCCACUCGCCCGCAAAACUCCCAGCCACCGGAAAACAACACAAAGUCUUACUUAAAAAGACAUUGUCCUUCUCUCUCUUCCCCUGGCUGGAGAAAGCCAGUCCCCAAAGGAUCUCAUUAAGGCCCGGCUAUCAGGGGCCAACGCAGGGAUCACUGUUUAAUGCCAGACGUCCCCAGAGGCACUGGAGUUGCUGCCCUGGCACACCGGUUCUCAUCAGUGGGUUAUGGGAGAAGGCUGUGUUGCCCUGAUGGUGUCUGCAGUGCUGGCCAAGCACCAUGAACUUGCCCAGGGAGGCAACUGUGGAGAUUCCCAGACCCCGGAGGCCUGCUGCCAUUACAUGCAUCGUAAGAACAGACCCUUCCUGUGGGCCCAGCCGAAGCGCGCAGCUACUUGCAGCGAGGGGCUGCCUUUCCCAGAGGCACAGGGUCCGAGAACCAGCCCUAAUGUUACCUCACGUUUCUCUCCCCUGUUUAUAACUCUUCAUUGACAGACUGGUGCCUGGAUCUGUUUUCUUAGCAAAAUAAUGUUUCUUCUGUCAUGUGAAAAGUGGCCUGUUUUUGUAGGGUUAGCCCAUGAGCCCUGGGAUGCACACAUGGGCCUAUAAUGGUAUAGGUGUCCCCUGGGCACUGGGAUGCUAGUAGUGAUGUUUUAAGAGCCCUAAGCAUUUAUUUUGAGAAAAACCCGAUAGAAAGGAUGGUUUGAAGCGCGUACUCAGCUGCAUUAAAUAAGGCAGGGCAAAUUUUGGGCUUCCAAAUCUUGACAGAUCCCUUUUAAUAGGACUUUAAAUAGGUGCUGGAGGGCUAAAGUACUGUUAUUUCAGAAGAGCCGUUUAUAUAGCAGCACUUAGUGAAUGCGGCUUGGUUUAUUAUCAGCGUCUAAUCAUAGUGACACAUUGUGCAGCGUGAGGUUAGAGGAAGCUUUAAUAAUAAUCUUCCACAAGUGAAAUGUUGUUAUUUUGCUGAAAAUGUCUGGUACUAAAUAGAAUUGUAGCCUUGUAAUGCUAUGGUUCUACAGGGACUGCCAUCACUAAAAUGGUCCAUACAGAUGACUUCCUGAGCGUGCAGCCAGAGAUUGCUGGUUAAACAAAACUAUCAACCUUGCAAAGGGCAUGAAUCCAGGCAAGCCGCAGGCCUGUGUUUGAAUGCAUGGCAGUGGGGGCCAGGCAGGUCACGCUUACUGGAAAGGAGAAUUGUUUUGGUUUUCCAAUUCCAAAUUAAAACCAUUGAGAGGUACCCUUUGCAGGAAGAAAUGGUCAGGCCUGAAGACUGCUAAAGUGGCUUUGUGUCUGGGGGAGGAAGUAGGGAGGUUGCAGACAAUCUACAAACAAAAUAUUGGCUUUGUUGUCAAGUGCUUAUGAGUGAAUCAAUGAAGUUAUCAAAGCCUGAAAGACAUGCAGUCACUGAGCGUCAGGGAGGCAGACAAGGCUGGGGAUUGUCUUCAUAAAAAGAAUUUUGUGAUCAAACAAAACACUCAACAAUGUAAUUAUUCAUUUUGGAGAAAAACGGUGUUAUGGGGGCAGAGCCCUGAUGCUUCCACUGCAGAGUCCAAGCCACAAAACUCCCCAUCCAACUAAUCCCUGCCCAUGUACCAGACACUGGCUAAGCUUGACCUCGGGGGCAGGGGGGCACCCUAUGUGAAUGUACCGGCUUGGAAUGGCUGGUGACCCAGUUCAAAUCUCUCCUGGGUCACAAGUGAAAAUGAAUCCAAUGGUCUCAGCUUUUGCCUGGGGGAUCUGUGCCCAGUGCUGCAGGCUGGCUAGUGUCGGCUCGGAGACAGGCCAGUGACCGGCCGGCAUCUUGCAGUCCAGAAGGGCGAGGGGUGGUGCUGGCAGGUACAGCCAGCGCUAACCAGACACUGAAGAUCAUCCCCAAAAAUACAGCUCACGUUUCAAGCAAACUCUUUUGCUGUCUGCACAUUACAUGGAAAAAGAGACUUGCUGGGCUUAUUCAUCCCCUCUCCUGUGGAAUGAGGGCAGAUCUGACAGGCAGAGUUCUGGUUUUAUGGGAGCGGAUUCUCACAGGCGGAUACUCACAGCCAUAGUCACUCAAGCAGCCACGGACCUGACAACACCUGCACAUCAGGAGGCAGGUACACAUCUAACCGACCUGAUUUGUACCCUGUGAUGGCUCUGUCUGGAGACCAGCCCUCCCGCCGACGGAGCCAACCCUUGAAGAGGCUAUGUGUUUGCCUCUCAUGCCUAAGCCCCAGCUCCUAGAGGAGCAGGCCAUUCUGCCUGGACUCCCAAACAAGUCCUGCUCCCCACAAGCAGUGCUGUGUUUGGCACAUCACAGUCAAGACCCACAACAGCUGUCAGGACACAGCCACCCCUACUGCACACAGUCUGUUCUCAGGAGGGGAUGCUGGGGAGAGCAGCCUUUGCUGGCUCAGAGCAUCAUAUGCUGCUAUGGUUCAUACAGGACUAAGCCCUUCGCCUCGGGCUCUCAGGGAAAGCUGCCUCCCCGAUUGGAGUCCGUUCUCCUGGGAGAAACCAUUUCAUUCUCUUGCCACCCCCCUGGAGUACUGCUGUCUCCUUUGGCCCUGCCUUACCCCCUUCCCUGCUAUUCCUCAGACAAGCUUUUAGUCACUCCAUAAGACACUGUGAUCAAGAUUUUCAAAAGUGAUAAGUGAUUUCAGAGGCUGCAGGUUUUGGGUGCCCGGUUUGAGACACCUUCAAGGGGCUGUUUUUCAGAAACUGCUGAGCACCUGCGCUCUGAGAGACAGGCCCCUUUGGGGUGUCUCAGGUUGGACACCCCAAGUCACGAGUUGCUUUGAAAAGAUCUUGGUCUGUGGGUGCAACACCUGAUGAGCAGUUAAGGCAAAACCUGGCCUGUGAAUUCU